This is a non-coding RNA of Pelobates cultripes (western spadefoot toad), 1014 nucleotides long. NCBI's taxonomy places the organism in Eukaryota, Metazoa, Chordata, Amphibia, Anura, Pelobatidae. The record is from the annotation of a GenBank genome assembly.
AUUUAGUGUACCGUUAUCUUCAUCACCAGGUAAAUUCCCUGAGCAAACUCCAGAGAUGAGUCUUCAUUCAAAUCUUGACUCAACUCUGAGUUGACAAAGCCUUCAAGAGGAAUCAUGGGAACAUAUAUUUGCAUAAAGUUAGAACUCUCAUUAUUCAAAAUGGCAGCAGCCAUGAAAACUGUAUCAGUAGAAUAGAAUGUUAUGAACCACAAAGAGGAGUGGGAUUUAUUAUAGUAAGUGCAUUAUAAAACAUCAGAAUUAGAAACGGCAGCAUUACCUAAUAAACAUAAAUUAUGUUGCAAACUGAAAUUGAUAUAUUUGAAUAUAAAAAAAACCCAAACAGAACUAUUGGAAGCAGCCAUGUUUCUUAUAUGACAGUAUACAAUCUUUGUUUUUGUUUCAUACUGUAUCGUAUCUAAGCAGAGGUGAACAACACUAGAAUUUGGGCCUUCCUGAAACGUUUUGAUUGGAAAUGGCUGGUCUCGUAUUUUAUUAGAAUCAAUAUUAAAAUCUAAACUAAGUUAUGCCACUUUGCCUGUCCACACUAAAAAAGGGACGUGUUUCUGGUACAGGUGACCGACACCUUGAACCGAUUUUGGGGGAAGUGGGUGUAAGUUUUGUUAACAGAGAUAAACAUCAUUUACAGAUUUAUAUACCAAAUAUAAAAAAGAAAUACAUAGAUAUGCUCCCUGUCACCUUAUAUCAAUGUAAUAUGUUCUAUUCAAAUAAAAUUACACAUUUUUUUUUAAAAAAAAGCAUAUUACUUGAGGAAAUGCAAAAUACACUUUUUUUUAAAAAUUUGACAUCUUUGUGUCAUCACAUCGCUAAGGUAAUACAGACAUAUUGAGGUGUUUUUGUUAAUAUAUGCCUAAUAAUAUAUACCUCGAAAAUAUUUUAUAACAUUGCCCUUAAUCCAGUUCGUGCAAAAUACUAAUCUAUUUUUUUUUACAUUAGUGAUAUAUUGAUAGUAUUUAAUAUAUAUUUAGCUGUUAUCUUUACAAAUGCAAAUACAAU